GAUGAACGCUGGCGGCGUGCUUAACACAUGCAAGUCGAACGGGAAUUACUUUAUUGAAGCUUCGGUCGAUUUAAUUUAAUUCUAGUGGCGGACGGGUGAGUAACGCGUGGGUAACCUGCCUUGUACAGGGGGAGUAACAGUCAGAAAUAGGCUGCUAAUACCGCAUAAGCGCACAGAGCUGCAUGGCUCAGUGUGAAAACUACCGGUGGUAUAAGAUGGACCCGCGUUGGAUUAGCUAGUUGGUGGGGUAACGGCCCACCAGGGCGGACGAUCCAUAGCCGGCCUGAGAGGGUGAACGGCCACAUUGGGACUGAGACACGGCCCAG
This 326-nucleotide ribosomal RNA is filed under the name uncultured bacterium. RNAcentral describes it as "bacterial SSU rRNA". It matches the Rfam family "Bacterial small subunit ribosomal RNA", at positions 28 to 334 of the family's 1533-position model. The record is from RNAcentral.